AGCAGCCGCGGUAAUUCCAGCUCCAAUAGCGUAUAUUAAAGUUGUUGCAGUUAAAAAGCUCGUAGUUGAAUUUCGAGAUCAAAUUGUUGGUCGUGCCUUGGUACGCACUGGCAUUAUUGGUUUCUCCCUUCUGACGAACCAUGAUGUCAUUAAUUUGGUGUCUUGGGGAAUCAGGACUGUUACUUUGAAAAAUUAGAGUGUUUAAAGCAGGCUCACGCUUGAAUACAUUAGCAUGGAAUAAUGAAAUAGGACGUUUGAUUCUAUUUUGUUGGUUUCUAGGAUCGACGUAAUGAUUAAUAGGGAUAGUUGGGGGCAUUAGUAUUCAAUUGUCAGAGGUGAAAUUCUUGGAUUUAUUGAAGGCUAACUACUGCGAAAGCAUUUGCCAAGGAUGUUUUCAUUAAUCAAGAACGAAAGUUAGGGGAUCGAAGACGACCAGAUACCGUCGUAGUCUUAACCAUAAACUAUGCCGACUAGGGAUCGGGUGAUGUUAAUUUUUAAUGACUCAUUCGGCGCCUUAACC
RNAcentral lists this unclassified non-coding RNA (520 nucleotides) under uncultured Glomus. RNAcentral's name for it is "SSU rRNA". It matches the Rfam family "Eukaryotic small subunit ribosomal RNA", at positions 569 to 1093 of the family's 1831-position model. The record is from RNAcentral. Lineage: Eukaryota; Fungi; Glomeromycota; Glomeromycetes; Glomerales; Glomeraceae.